UAUACAUUGUUCUUUAAUUUUCUAGAUUUUAGAAAAGUUUUGUAUUCGAAAUAAUACAUGUGAAAAAAUAAAAAAAUCCAAAAAUAUUGUAGUUUUUCUUCUUCUGAUUCAACAGCCCGUCCAAAGCAACUGUUUUCAAUUUUUGAACUAAAUAAUUUAAAAUUGGUUCAAUUAACUGAAGUAAAAGGUACUUUGAAACACAAGGUUGAGCACAGAAGUAUUCACCUCAAAUCUAGCUGUGUCAUAUUGAAGCCUUUUAUUUGGAUUAGACAAAAUAUUAUAAGAGAAUGUGACCUCCUUGAAUAUAUUUGCACCUUUAGGAUCAUUUGCAUUCUUGUCCGGAUGGUACCUACACAUUGUAAAAUAAGCAUAAAUAACAACCAACAAUUUUGUCUGCCUCGUAAAACAGAGCUGUUGAUAUAUAAGGGCAUAAACACACACACGCACAGAGAGAGAGUAACCAUUCACAAAAUACCAUCCAGAAGCAUCCACUAAUAGGGUUCCUGCUAUAGAUUAUUUUUUCUGUUAUUGGCAACAGAUCUCUUGCAAUAUACUNUGUUGAUACAUAAGGGCAUAAACACACACACACACACACACACACACACAGAGAGAGAGAGAGAGAGAGAGAGAGAGAGAGUAACCAUUCACAAAAUACCAUCCAGAAGCAUCCACUAAUAGGGUUCCUGCUAUAGAUUAUUUUUUCUGUUAUUGGCAACAGAUCUCUUGCAAUAUACUGGAGAGUCUUAUAAAAUAGGAUAUAAAGGUAAAAUUGAGAGCUUUAACAGUAAAACGGACUAAUAGAAGACAAAGGACAAAGUAAAGAGAACAGAAGCAAGGCGAACAAAUAGACCACCAACUUGGCAACUUCUGGAAUGAGAUUCUUCCUAUCAUGCAUUUCUUUCUCUCUUUUUUUCCUACUGACAUUAUUCACUGUAUAUUUUUGGUGCAAAUAUUUGUAUAAUUUUGUUAUUUAUCUGUUUAUUGGGUUGAUGAGUAAAAUUUAUAUUAGGAGCAUGUUUGCUAAUUCGCUAAGCUUAGGAAAAAUAAUAAAAAUAUUUUUAUUCUAUAGGCUUAUAAAGAAGUUCCUACACGCCCGACCAUAUCCUUCGUGAAUGCAAACAAAUUCUUUACAUGCAAAUCUUUACAAGACUAAAACAUUAUGCUUUUCACUUUUCGAUUUCUCAAACUUGAUUUCGUAUUGUUGUUAAAAAACAGUGAGGCGGAUUUUACUAUUCUCAUUAGUAAAAGAAAAAUUGUCUCCAAUUCUUUGUACAUAUUUUUACUUCAAUUUGACGUUCAUUCAUUAACAAUGUGCAAGGUCUAACUGCUAUCCAUAUUUAGAAUUUUCUCCUCUUCGUUUCGCUUCGGUCGAAAGGUAGGAAUUUUCUUUUCCUUCUAUAAGUUUAGCUUCCUUUGAUAAUGUUUAAUUAGAUUAUACAUAGAAAUUACUCGUUUAGUACUCUUACCUUAUGUUUUGCAGUAUUUUGAAGUUCCAUUUACUUUAUUUGUGGCUGAGAACAAUGUCAAACUUAGAUUUCUUAUUCUUUUAUGUUCUUUUGUUGACAUUUCUUUCAAAUCCAUAAAUAAUGUUAAAUGGAUUUAUGCUUUGAUGAACCAUAUAAUUGACUUAUGGAACCAAUGCUAGCUCUUUACCACCAUUACAAUCGACGAAUCUGCUCCUGGAAUAAAGGCCAUAUUGAACUUCAAAGCUCCUUUCCAAAGGCUUGGAAAUGUGAGAGGUUUUGUGUUUAAUGCUUAUAGCAUCAUAAAUCUUAGUGCUUUCUAUGUGUAGUGUACCUCUAAUUAUUUUCCCAUAAUGACCACGAUUGUUGGAAGUGCAAUACUUGCAUGAGUAUGUGGGGAUAAGCUCAACCAUUGGGUUGACAGCUAACCCAUUGUCAAUAAACUGCAUCAUGAAAUACUAGAAAGAGCAAAUAACAUAAUGACAACCUUCAAAUUCCUUAUUGCUUUAGUUUGGAUGUUUAUAGUUUGUAUGUUUUAGAAAGUGCAAUUUAUGUUAUGUUAGUUAUCAUGUUUUUACAUAUUGUGAAUAGGUUAAAGUAUUAAACAAUUCUAUGUAGGCAUAUUUAUUUUACUUGAAAGUUUAGUUUCCACAUAUGUAUGAUAUAAUAUAUGUGCUAAUAGCUUUUUUUUUCAAUUCUUUUAGUUCUUGUUGGUUACCUUGGGCUCCAACUAUUCGUUAAGUUAUCUAAUUGUUCUUAUGGAUGUUUCGGAAACAUGUUCUAAUGGAGUGACUGGUUCUCUGAAUUUCGAAACAAUGUCCUAUCGCCAACAACAGAACCAAAGGCAAAGGGAUAGGCGAAAUCGACUUGGAAUCGGGUGCAAUGAUCGUCGCAAGUGGAUAAAUGAUCCCAUGUCAUCUGAAAUUAAUAAUUCCAACAUUGAAAGAAUACAGCAAUCUAUAAUGCAUCAUGAUUUUGAGGCUUCUACUUCAAACCAAGAGACACAUGAUAUUUCCAAUUCUGCAUUACGAAGUAGUUUUAAUGUACUGAACAUACCAACGACUUAAUAUGCAUUACCGACAUGCAAUAGUUGUAAAUAUUAUGGUGCAAGAAAAUUUUAUAGAGAAAGUAAAGGCUUCUGUUGCUCUGAUGGAAAGUUCAUCUCUAUAUGCCUGAUUCACCAACUGAAUUGUACAACUUGUUUACUUCCAAAGAACCUAAAUGUAUGGAAUUUAAAAAGAUUGUAAGGAGAUAUAAUAAUUAUUUUGCUUUCACUUCAUUUGGUGUUAAAUACGACAAAGAGCUCUUCAAAUCAUAUAGAUGUAUUUACACAUUCAGGUUCAAGGACAAGUAUAUCAUUACGUAAAUGAACUUAUCCCACAGAACAGUACACCUUCUUAUAUGCAAUUAUACUUUUAUGAUACAGAUAAUGAACUCCAAAAUCGUAUGAAAAAUUUAGAAAACUUUGUUCAAUGUACUUUGAUUGUUCUAAUUGAAAUCCUUAAGGUAAAGUCGUACAGUAGAUUCUUUAGGUCUUUAAGUCAUACAACUAAUUUGCAAGAGCAUUGAAUACACAUAAGAUGUGACCAGG
RNAcentral lists this long non-coding RNA (3054 nucleotides) under Olea europaea subsp. europaea. The record is from RNAcentral. Lineage: Eukaryota; Viridiplantae; Streptophyta; Magnoliopsida; Lamiales; Oleaceae.